UACAUCACUCCUUGAGUGCGUUACUCCCUUUCAAGACUUCCUCCAUAAAUUUCCAGACAAAUUAAAGAGUUUGGAAGAGCGAAUGAGGGAAGUGGCAAAUGAAGCAGAAGAUAUCUUAGAAUAUCUUGUGUUGGAAAAGGUUUUCUUGUCUUCUGAUGAAGAGUCUGAAUUCCACGAUGAACUCGACGAUGAAUUCCACGAUGUAUUCAA
RNAcentral lists this long non-coding RNA (210 nucleotides) under Salvia miltiorrhiza (redroot sage). RNAcentral's name for it is "long non-coding RNA (SMIL_LNC001429)". The record is from RNAcentral. Lineage: Eukaryota; Viridiplantae; Streptophyta; Magnoliopsida; Lamiales; Lamiaceae.